UGAGGAAUAUUGGUCAAUGGGCGGCAGCCUGAGCCAGCCAUCCCGCGUGAAGGAAGAAUGCGCUAUGCGUUGUAAACUUCUUUUUCAGGGGGAUAAAAUUCUGUAUGUAUACAGGACUGAAGGUACCCUGAGAAUAAGCAUCGGCUAACUCCGUGCCAGCAGCCGCGGUAAUACGGAGGAUGCGAGCGUUAUCCGGAUUUAUUGGGUUUAAAGGGUGCGUAGGCGGAAUAAUAAGUCAGUGGUGAAACCCUGCAGCUUAACUGUAGACUUGCCAUUGAUACUGUUUUUCUUGAGUAUGGUCAAGGCAGGCGGAAUGUGUAAUGUAGCGGUGAAAUGCUUAGAUAUUACACAGAACACCGAUAGCGAAGGCAGCUUGCUGGGCCGUUACUGACGCUGAUGCACGAAAGCGUGGGGAUCGAACAG
RNAcentral lists this ribosomal RNA (423 nucleotides) under uncultured bacterium. RNAcentral's name for it is "bacterial SSU rRNA". It matches the Rfam family "Bacterial small subunit ribosomal RNA", at positions 355 to 775 of the family's 1533-position model. The record is from RNAcentral.